AGAGUUUGAUCCUGGCUCAAGAACGAACGCUGGCGGCAGGCUUAACACAUGCAAGUCGAACGCAUCCUUCGGGGUGAGUGGCAGACGGGUGAGUAACACGUGGGAAUCUACCCUUUGCUACGGAACAACUCCGGGAAACUGGAGCUAAUACCGUAUGUGCCCUUCGGGGGAAAGAUUUAUCGCCGAAGGAUCGGCCCGCGUCUGAUUAGCUAGUUGGUGAGGUAACGGCUCACCAAGGCGACGAUCAGUAGCUGGUCUGAGAGGAUGAUCAGCCACAUUGGGACUGAGACACGGCCCAAACUCCUACGGGAGGCAGCAGUGGGGAACAUUGGACAAUGGGCGCAAGCCUGAUCCAGCCAUGCCGCGUGAGUGAUGAAGGCCCUAGGGUUGUAAAGCUCUUUUGUGCGGGAAGAUAAUGACGGUACCGCAAGAAUAAGCCCCGGCUAACUUCGUG
RNAcentral lists this ribosomal RNA (454 nucleotides) under uncultured bacterium. RNAcentral describes it as "bacterial SSU rRNA". It matches the Rfam family "Bacterial small subunit ribosomal RNA", at positions 8 to 507 of the family's 1533-position model. The record is from RNAcentral.